This is a long non-coding RNA of Ornithodoros turicata, 197 nucleotides long. RefSeq lists it as uncharacterized. Lineage: Eukaryota; Metazoa; Arthropoda; Arachnida; Ixodida; Argasidae. The transcript has 3 exons. The record is from RefSeq and is a predicted model, not a curated record.
AUGUUGACACACUGGACACUUCCCUUGAGCUGAGUGUGUGUUCUGCUUCAAAACUGGACACCAACACAGAAAAAGUUACAGACCAGCCAUUGGACCUGUCAUUGUGCUCCUCCAGCUCAGUACCACAAAACUCUGAAGUCACAGGCCAGGCACUGGACUUGCUGGUGUGUUCUCCUAGCUCACCCCCAAAUGCUGAG